UACGAAGGGGGCUAGCGUUGCUCGGAAUUACUGGGCGUAAAGGGCGCGUAGGCGGAUGUCUAAGUCAGAGGUAAACGCCCAGGGCUCACCCUUGGAACUGCCUUUGGUACUGGACAUCUUGAGUACGGGAGAGGUGAGUGGAACUCCGAGUGUAGAGGUGAAAUGCGUAGAUAGGCGGAGGAACACCAGUGGCGAAGGCGACUCACUGGCCCGUUACUGACGCUGAGGCGCGAAAGCGUGGGGAGCAAACAGG
RNAcentral lists this ribosomal RNA (253 nucleotides) under uncultured bacterium. RNAcentral describes it as "partial 16S ribosomal RNA". It matches the Rfam family "Bacterial small subunit ribosomal RNA", at positions 524 to 776 of the family's 1533-position model. The record is from RNAcentral.